RNAcentral lists this transfer RNA (76 nucleotides) under Candidatus Moranbacteria bacterium CG2_30_41_165. RNAcentral's name for it is "tRNA-Arg". It matches the Rfam family "tRNA". From Rfam's summary of the family: Transfer RNA (tRNA) molecules are approximately 80 nucleotides in length. Their secondary structure includes four short double-helical elements and three loops (D, anti-codon, and T loops). Further hydrogen bonds mediate the characteristic L-shaped molecular structure. tRNAs have two regions of fundamental functional importance: the anti-codon, which is responsible for specific mRNA codon recognition, and the 3' end, to which the tRNAs corresponding amino acid is attached (by aminoacyl-tRNA synthetases). tRNAs cope with the degeneracy of the genetic code in two manners: having more than one tRNA (with a specific anti-codon) for a particular amino acid; and 'wobble' base-pairing, i.e. permitting non-standard base-pairing at the 3rd anti-codon position. Lineage: Bacteria; Candidatus Moraniibacteriota. The record is from RNAcentral.
GCCCUCGUAGCUCAAUGGACAGAGCGGGACGCUUCUAUCGUCAGGGUUGUGGGUUCGAUUCCUGCCGAGGGCACCA